AGCGAACGCUGGCGGCGUGCCUAACACAUGCAAGUCGAACGUGAAAUGUAGCAAUACAAAGUAAAGUGGCGUACGGGUGAGUAACGCGUAGGUAAUCUACCCCAAAAUCUGGAAUAACCGGCCGAAAGGCUGGCUAAUACUGGAUAGAGCGAUGAAAUCCGUAAUUGGGUUUUUCGGGAAAGGGAGCUCGUAAGAGCCUUCGUUUUGGGAUGAGCCUGCGUCUCAUUAGCUAGUUGGUAAGGUAAAAGCUUACCAAGGCAUUGAUGGGUAGCUGGUCUGAGAGGAUGAUCAGCCACACUGGAACUGAAACACGGUCCAGACUCCUACGGGAGGCAG
This 336-nucleotide ribosomal RNA is filed under the name uncultured Pseudomonadota bacterium. Its description in RNAcentral is "bacterial SSU rRNA". It matches the Rfam family "Bacterial small subunit ribosomal RNA", at positions 29 to 351 of the family's 1533-position model. The record is from RNAcentral. Lineage: Bacteria; Pseudomonadati; Pseudomonadota.